CAACCCGCUGGGAGGUGUAACAGCAACGAUAACAACAGCAGAAACAACAACAGCAGCAGUAGAGGCGCCGUUCCACGUGUGCACACCCAAGGACAAAGACGCCUCGCUGGGGAUGAGUGAGUGGAGUUUGUGUGGACCAUCUUCAGAGUCAGUGGAGGAGGCUCGUGAAGGACGCUGCUACUGGGCAGUUUGAGGCAGUCGCCCUCCUGCAACAACGGAGUGCAGAGGAGCGGCAGCAGGCUCAGUUUGCUCCCCGCACGGCCACCGUCGCUCGGGAACGAGGAGAGCGACCGAAGAGCUCCGAUGGAGCGGGAAGGGAGAGGAGAGCGAGGAGGGAAAAGAAGUCAGGGCAGAGAGGAGGAGCCUCAAAUUACGGAAGAGCAAGAAGGGAGAGAUGACGGACAUCAAGACGCCCAGAGGGGAGAGCGUGCAGUGAGGUGGGCCGAGGGCAAGAGGGAGGAGCAGAGGCAGGACGC
Molecule: long non-coding RNA, 476 nt
Organism: Petromyzon marinus (sea lamprey)
Lineage: Eukaryota; Metazoa; Chordata; Hyperoartia; Petromyzontiformes; Petromyzontidae
Source: RefSeq, a predicted model, not a curated record